GUGCCAGCAGCCGCGGUAAUACGUAGGUGGCAAACGUUGUCCGGAUUUAUUGGGCGUAAAGCGAGCGCAGGCGGUUCUUUAAGUCUGAUGUGAAAGCCCCCGGCUCAACCGGGGAGGGUCAUUGGAAACUGGAGAACUUGAGUGCAGAAGAGGAGAGUGGAAUUCCACGUGUAGCGGUGAAAUGCGUAGAUAUGUGGAGGAACACCAGUGGCGAAGGCGACUCUCUGGUCUGUAACUGACGCUGAGGCUCGAAAGCGUGGGGAGCAAACAGGAUUAGAUA
Molecule: ribosomal RNA, 280 nt
Filed under: uncultured Carnobacteriaceae bacterium
Lineage: Bacteria; Bacillati; Bacillota; Bacilli; Lactobacillales; Carnobacteriaceae
Description: partial 16S ribosomal RNA
Rfam family: Bacterial small subunit ribosomal RNA
Source: RNAcentral